UACAGAGACUGCAAGCGUUAUUCGGAUUCACUGGGCGUAAAGGGUGCGCAGGCGGCCGUGUGUGUUAGGCGUGAAAGCCCGAGGCUCAACCUCGGAAUUGCACCUAAAACUACACGGCUAGAGUACUGGAGAGGGUAGCGGAAUUCACGGUGUAGCAGUGAAAUGCGUAGAUAUCGUGAGGAACACCAAUGGCGAAGGCAGCUACCUGGACAGUAACUGACGCUCAGGCACGAAAGCGUGGGGAGCAAAAGGG
RNAcentral lists this ribosomal RNA (253 nucleotides) under uncultured bacterium. RNAcentral describes it as "partial 16S ribosomal RNA". It matches the Rfam family "Bacterial small subunit ribosomal RNA", at positions 524 to 776 of the family's 1533-position model. The record is from RNAcentral.